CCCUUAGAUGUUCUGGGCUGCACGCGCGCUACACUGAUGCGCUCAACGAGUUUUAACCUUGCCUGGAAAGGUUGGGUAAUCUUUUUAAAACGCAUCGUGAUGGGGAUAGAUUAUUGCAAUUAUUAAUCUUCAACGAGGAAUUCCUAGUAAGCGCGAGUCAUCAGCUCGUGCUGAUUACGUCCCUGCCCUUUGUACACACCGCCCGUCGCUACUACCGAUUGAAUGGUUUAGUGAGGACUCCUGAUUGGCGCCGCCGCCCCGGCAACGGAGCAGCGGACUGCCGAAAAGUUGUUCAAACUUGAUCAUUUAGAGGAAGUAAAAGUCGUAACA
RNAcentral lists this ribosomal RNA (330 nucleotides) under uncultured eukaryote. RNAcentral's name for it is "partial 18S ribosomal RNA". It matches the Rfam family "Eukaryotic small subunit ribosomal RNA", at positions 1470 to 1796 of the family's 1831-position model. The record is from RNAcentral.